RNAcentral lists this ribosomal RNA (497 nucleotides) under uncultured bacterium. RNAcentral's name for it is "partial 16S ribosomal RNA". It matches the Rfam family "Bacterial small subunit ribosomal RNA", at positions 28 to 507 of the family's 1533-position model. The record is from RNAcentral.
GAUGAACGCUGGCGGCGUGCCUAAUACAUGCAAGUCGAGCGAACGGACGAGAAGCUUGCUUCUCUGAUGUUAGCGGCGGACGGGUGAGUAACACGUGGAUAACCUACCUAUAAGACUGGGAUAACUUCGGGAAACCGUAGCUAAUACCGGAUAAUAUUUUGAACCGCAUGGUUCAAAAGUGAAAGUCGGUCUUGCGGUCACUUAUAGAUGGAUCCGCGCUGCAUUAGCUAGUUGGUAAGGUAACGGCUUACCAAGGCAACGAUGCAUAGCCGACCUGAGAGGGUGAUCGGCCACACUGGAACUGAGACACGGUCCAGACUCCUACGGGAGGCAGCAGUAGGGAAUCUUCCGCAAAGGGCGAAAGCCUGACGGAGCAACGCCGCGUGAGUGAUGAAGGUCUUCGGAUCGUAAAACUCUGUUAUUAGGGAAGAACAUAUGUGUAAGUAACUGUGCACAUCUUGACGGUACCUAAUCAGAAAGCCACGGCUAACUACGUG